RNAcentral lists this ribosomal RNA (253 nucleotides) under uncultured bacterium. Its description in RNAcentral is "partial 16S ribosomal RNA". It matches the Rfam family "Bacterial small subunit ribosomal RNA", at positions 524 to 776 of the family's 1533-position model. The record is from RNAcentral.
AACGUAGGAGGCGAGCGUUAUCCGGAGUUACUGGGCGUAAAGCGCGUGCAGGCGGAUCAGUAAGUUACUCAUGAAAGCUCCCGGCUAAACUGGGAGAGGUUGAGUGAUACUGCUGGUCUAGAGUGGAUGAGAGGUAGGUAGAAUUCCUUGUGUAGUGGUGAAAUGCGUAGAUAUAAGGAAGAAUACCAGUGGCGAAGGCGACCUACUGGCAUCCAACUGACGCUCAGACGCGAAAGCAUGGGUAGCGAACGGG